UGAGGAAUAUUGCACAAUGGGCGCAAGCCUGAUGCAGCAACGCCGCGUGCGGGACGAAGGCCUUCGGGUCGUAAACCGCUUUUCUGGGGAAAGAGCAAGGACGGUACCUCAGGAAUAAGUCUCGGCUAACUACGUGCCAGCAGCCGCAGUAAAACGUAGGAGGCGAGCGUUAUCCGGAUUUACUGGGCGUAAAGCGCACGCAGGCGGCUCUGUGAGUCGGACGUGAAAGCUCCCGGCUUAACCGGGAGAGGCCGUUCGAUACUGCGGGGCUUGAGGUAGGGAGAGGAAUGCGGAAUUCCCGGUGUAGUGGUGGAAUGCGUAGAUAUCGGGGGGAACACCUGUGGCGAAAGCGGCAUUCUGGCCCUCAUCUGACGCUGAGGUGCGAAAGCGUGGGUAGCAAACAG
Molecule: ribosomal RNA, 404 nt
Filed under: uncultured bacterium
Lineage: Bacteria
Description: bacterial SSU rRNA
Rfam family: Bacterial small subunit ribosomal RNA
Source: RNAcentral